CCAUGCAAGUCGAACGAACUCUGGUAUUGAUUGGUGCUUGCAUCAUGAUUUACAUUUGAGUGAGUGGCGAACUGGUGAGUAACACGUGGGAAACCUGCCCAGAAGCGGGGGAUAACACCUGGAAACAGAUGCUAAUACCGCAUAACAACUUGGACCGCAUGGUCCGAGUUUGAAAGAUGGCUUCGGCUAUCACUUUUGGAUGGUCCCGCGGCGUAUUAGCUAGAUGGUGRGGUAACGGCUCACCAUGGCAAUGAUACGUAGCCGACCUGAGAGGGUAAUCGGCCACAUUGGGACUGAGACACGGCCCAAACUCCUACGGGAGGCAGCAGUAGGGAAUCUUCCACAAUGGACGAAAGUCUGAUGGAGCAACGCCGCGUGAGUGAAGAAGGGUUUCGGCUCGUAAAACUCUGUUGUUAAAGAAGAACAUAUCUGAGAGUAACUGUUCAGGUAUUGACGGUAUUUAACCAGAAAGCCACGGCUAACUACGUGCCAGCAGCCGCGGUAAUACGUAGGUGGCAAGCGUUGUCCGGAUUUAUUGGGCGUAAAGCGAGCGCAGGCGGUUUUUUAAGUCUGAUGUGAAAGCCUUCGGCUCAACCGAAGAAGUGCAUCGGAAACUGGGAAACUUGAGUGCAGAAGAGGACAGUGGAACUCCAUGUGUAGCGGUGAAAUGCGUAGAUAUAUGGAAGAACACCAGUGGCGAAGGCGGCUGUCUGGUCUGUAACUGACGCUGAGGCUCGAAAGUAUGGGUAGCAAACAGGAUUAGAUACCCUGGUAGUCCAUACCGUAAACGAUGAAUGCUAAGUGUUGGAGGGUUUCCGCCCUUCAGUGCUGCAGCUAACGCAUUAAGCAUUCCGCCUGGGGAGUACGGCCGCAAGGCUGAAACUCAAAGGAAUUGACGGGGGCCCGCACAAGCGGUGGAGCAUGUGGUUUAAUUCGAAGCUACGCGAAGAACCUUACCAGGUCUUGACAUACUAUGCAAAUCUAAGAGAUUAGACGUUCCCUUCGGGGACAUGGAUACAGGUGGUGCAUGGUUGUCGUCAGCUCGUGUCGUGAGAUGUUGGGUUAAGUCCCGCAACGAGCGCAACCCUUAUUAUCAGUUGCCAGCAUUAAGUUGGGCACUCUGGUGAGACUGCCGGUGACAAACCGGAGGAAGGUGGGGAUGACGUCAAAUCAUCAUGCCCCUUAUGACCUGGGCUACACACGUGCUACAAUGGAUGGUACAACGAGUUGCGAACUCGCGAGAGUAAGCUAAUCUCUUAAAGCCAUUCUCAGUUCGGAUUGUAGGCUGCAACUCGCCUACAUGAAGUCGGAAUCGCUAGUAAUCGCGGAUCAGCAUGCCGCGGUGAAUACGUUCCCGGGCCUUGUACACACCGCCCGUCACACCAUGAGAGUUUGUAACACCCAAAGUCGGUGGGGUAACUUA
RNAcentral lists this ribosomal RNA (1423 nucleotides) under Lactiplantibacillus plantarum. Its description in RNAcentral is "bacterial SSU rRNA". The record is from RNAcentral. Lineage: Bacteria; Bacillati; Bacillota; Bacilli; Lactobacillales; Lactobacillaceae.